AAGCAGUCUAAGAUUUUGUUGUUCUUUGUUAAGUGUCAUAAAAAAUGUGUUUAAAGUUAGGUUCACUACAAAUUCCGUAAAGACACAAACACACAUGUAAUUGGCUUAGUACAUGUGUUUGCGUGUGUAGUUCCGAAAUGCAUCACUUGAAUGUUGUGUGUGGACAAAAGAGCGUGAAAGAGGAAGCGCAAGCGAGAGAGGAAUGUCCCAUGCAGCUGCACCGCUCUUGCAAUGUUAGUUAACAGCGGCUUCCGUUAACAUAUGUUUGGUGCGCUAACAGAAUGUAAACCAAAAUUAAACGAUAAAAUAAAAACACAAUGCAUACA
Molecule: non-coding RNA, 326 nt
Organism: Drosophila virilis
Lineage: Eukaryota; Metazoa; Arthropoda; Insecta; Diptera; Drosophilidae
Source: RefSeq, a predicted model, not a curated record